This 501-nucleotide ribosomal RNA is filed under the name uncultured bacterium. RNAcentral describes it as "partial 16S ribosomal RNA". It matches the Rfam family "Bacterial small subunit ribosomal RNA", at positions 899 to 1397 of the family's 1533-position model. The record is from RNAcentral.
ACUCAAAGGAAUAGACGGGGGCCCGCACAAGCGGUGGAGCAUGUGGUUCAAUUCGAAGCAACGCGCAGAACCUUACCGGCCCUUGACAUGUCCCGUUUGGAUUUCAGAGAUGAGAUCCUUCAGUUCGGCUGGCGGGAACACAGGUGCUGCAUGGCUGUCGUCAGCUCGUGUCGUGAGAUGUUGGGUUAAGUCCCGCAACGAGCGCAACCCUCGCCCCUAGUUGCCAGCAUUCAGUUGGGCACUCUAGGGGGACUGCCGGUGAUAAGCCGCGAGGAAGGUGGGGAUGACGUCAAGUCCUCAUGGCCCUUACGGGCCGGGCUACACACGUGCUACAAUGGCGGUGACAAUGGGCAGCUACUCAGCAAUGGGAAGCGAAUCUCAAAAAGCCGUCUCAGUUCGGAUUGGGGUCUGCAACUCGACCCCAUGAAGUUGGAAUCGCUAGUAAUCGUGGAUCAGAACGCCACGGUGAAUACGUUCCCGGGCCUUGUACACACCGCCCGU